RNAcentral lists this ribosomal RNA (301 nucleotides) under uncultured bacterium. RNAcentral describes it as "partial 16S ribosomal RNA". It matches the Rfam family "Bacterial small subunit ribosomal RNA", at positions 509 to 807 of the family's 1533-position model. The record is from RNAcentral.
CAGUCGCCGCGGGAAUACGUAGGUGGCAAGCGUUGUCCGGAAUUAUUGGGCGUAAAGCGCGCGCAGGUGGUUCCUUAAGUCUGAUGUGAAAGCCCACGGCUCAACCGUGGAGGGUCAUUGGAAACUGGGAGACUUGAGUGCAGAAGAGGAUAGUGGAAUUCCAAGUGUAGCGGUGAAAUGCGUAGAGAUUUGGAGGAACACCAGUGGCGAAGGCGACUAUCUGGUCUGUAACUGACACUGAGGCGCGAAAGCGUGGGGAGCAAACAGGAUUAGAUACCCCAGUAGUCCCUGUCUCUUAUAC